This 414-nucleotide long non-coding RNA is filed under the name Rattus norvegicus (Norway rat). RNAcentral's name for it is "long non-coding RNA NONRATT026104". Lineage: Eukaryota; Metazoa; Chordata; Mammalia; Rodentia; Muridae. The record is from RNAcentral.
AUCACCCCCACCAGCAGCCCCAAGACAAAGAAGCGCCCUGCCCCCAAAGCACCCAGUGCUUCCCCACUUGUUCUCCACGCCUCCCGCCUAUCACACUCAGAACCUCCUUCAGCAACGCCGUCACCAGCCCUCAGUGUGGAGAGUCUGUCAUCCGAGAGUUCCAGUCACACUGCCAAUACAGAGCCUUCGGAGCCACCUGCCGUGCCUAAGAGCUCCUCGGAUCCUGCUGUGCACGUGCCUGGCACCCCUGGCACAUCUGCGAACUCUGUCACCCCCUCAGCCCACUCUUCCCUAUCGUCUUCUGGGGAGCUAGGGCAGCCUAGUGGUGAACAAAUGCCACAGGCCAGGACAAGGGGCAGCCCAGGUACCCACUCCACCAAGCCCUUCAGUGGUGCCACCCCCACGCCCUUCUUG